This 421-nucleotide ribosomal RNA is filed under the name uncultured bacterium. Its description in RNAcentral is "bacterial SSU rRNA". It matches the Rfam family "Bacterial small subunit ribosomal RNA", at positions 356 to 774 of the family's 1533-position model. The record is from RNAcentral.
GAGGAAUAUUGGUCAAUGGGGGCAACCCUGAACCAGCCAAGUCGCGUGAAGGAUGAAGGUCUUAUGGAUUGUAAACUUCUUUUAUACAGGAAUAAAUUGGGGGACGUGUCCCCUUUUGCAUGUACUGUAUGAAUAAGGAUCGGCUAACUCCGUGCCAGCAGCCGCGGUAAUACGGAGGAUCCGAGCGUUAUUCGGAUUUAUUGGGUUUAAAGGGUGCGCAGGCGGGAUGUUAAGUCGGCGGUGAAAUUUUGCAGCUCAACUGUAAAAGUGCCUUCGAUACUGGCUUCCUUGAGUGUAGAUGAAGUAGGCGCAAUUUGUGGUGUAGCGGUGAAAUGCUUAGAUAUCACGAGGAACUCCGAUUGCGCAGGCAGCUUACUAAACUACAACUGACGCUCAUGCACGAAGGCGUGGGGAUCAAACA